RNAcentral lists this unclassified non-coding RNA (358 nucleotides) under soil metagenome. RNAcentral describes it as "partial contains 5.8S ribosomal RNA, internal transcribed spacer 2, and large subunit ribosomal RNA". The stretch from base 1 to 121 matches the Rfam family "5.8S ribosomal RNA", at positions 35 to 154 of the family's 154-position model. The record is from RNAcentral.
GAUGAAGAACGCAGCGAAAUGCGAUAAGUAAUGCGAAUUGCAGAAUUUCCGUGAGUCAUCGAAUCUUUGAACGCACAUUGCGCCCGUCAGUAUUCUGGCGGGCAUGCCUGUUCGAGCGCCAUUACGCCCCUCAAGUCCCCUGUGGACUUGGUGUUGGGGAUCGGCGAGGCUGGUUUUCCAGCACAGCCGUCCCUUAAAUUAAUUGGCGGUCUCGCCGUGGCCCUCCUCUGCGCAGUAGUAAAACACUCGCAACAGGAGCCCGGCGCGGUCCACUGCCGUAAAACCCCCCAACUUUUUAUAGUUGACCUCGAAUCAGGUAGGACUACCCGCUGAACUUAAGCAUAUCAAAAGCGGAGGA